This 378-nucleotide unclassified non-coding RNA is filed under the name plant metagenome. RNAcentral's name for it is "partial contains 5.8S ribosomal RNA, internal transcribed spacer 2, and large subunit ribosomal RNA". The stretch from base 1 to 105 matches the Rfam family "5.8S ribosomal RNA", at positions 50 to 154 of the family's 154-position model. The record is from RNAcentral.
GAAAUGCGAUAAGUAAUGUGAAUUGCAGAAUUCAGUGAAUCAUCGAAUCUUUGAACGCACCUUGCGCUCCUUGGUAUUCCUUGGAGCAUGCCUGUUUGAGUAUCAUGAAAUCUUCAAAGUAAAUCUUUUGUUAACUCAAUUGGUUUCUACUUUGGUAUUGGAGGUCUUUGCAGCUUCACACCUGCUCCUCUUUGUUCAUUAGCUGGAUCUCAGUGUUAUGCUUGGUUCCACUCGGCGUGAUAAGUUAUCUAUCGCUGAGGACACUGUAAAAGGUGGCCAAGGUAAAUGCAGAUGAACCGCUUCUAAUAGUCCAUUGACUUGGACAAUACUUUUAUGAUCUGAUCUCAAAUCAGGUAGGACUAACCGCUGAACUUAAGA